CGGUCUAUAGCUCAGUGGUAGAGCAUUUGAUUGCAGAUCAAGAGGACGAUGGUUCGAAUUCGGCUGGGCCUC
This 72-nucleotide transfer RNA is filed under the name Hofstenia miamia. Its description in RNAcentral is "tRNA-Cys for anticodon GCA". It matches the Rfam family "tRNA". From Rfam's summary of the family: Transfer RNA (tRNA) molecules are approximately 80 nucleotides in length. Their secondary structure includes four short double-helical elements and three loops (D, anti-codon, and T loops). Further hydrogen bonds mediate the characteristic L-shaped molecular structure. tRNAs have two regions of fundamental functional importance: the anti-codon, which is responsible for specific mRNA codon recognition, and the 3' end, to which the tRNAs corresponding amino acid is attached (by aminoacyl-tRNA synthetases). tRNAs cope with the degeneracy of the genetic code in two manners: having more than one tRNA (with a specific anti-codon) for a particular amino acid; and 'wobble' base-pairing, i.e. permitting non-standard base-pairing at the 3rd anti-codon position. Lineage: Eukaryota; Metazoa; Xenacoelomorpha; Acoela; Hofsteniidae. The record is from RNAcentral.